Molecule: ribosomal RNA, 416 nt
Filed under: uncultured prokaryote
Also listed under: 1 other name
Description: bacterial SSU rRNA
Rfam family: Bacterial small subunit ribosomal RNA
Source: RNAcentral
UCGAGAAUUUUUCUCAAUGGGGGAAACCCUGAAGGAGCGACGCCGCGUGGAGGAUGAAGGUCUUCGGAUUGUAAACUCCUGUCAUUUGGGAACAAAGCCCGCAAGGGUGUGAUAGUACCAGAAGAGGAAGAGACGGCUAACUCUGUGCCAGCAGCCGCGGUAAUACAGAGGUCUCAAGCGUUGUUCGGAUUCAUUGGGCGUAAAGGGUGCGUAGGCGGCGUGGUUAGUCGGAUGUGAAAUCUUGGGGCUCAACCCCAAAACUGCAUUCGAUACUGCCAUGCUUGAAGACUGAAGAGGAGAUUGGAAUUCACGGUGUAGCAGUGAAAUGCGUAGAUAUCGUGAGGAAGACCAGUGGCGAAGGCGAAUCUCUGGGCAGAUCUUGACGCUGAUGCACGAAGGCCAGGGGAGCAAACGGG